AUUGAACGCUAGCGGGAUGCUUUACACAUGCAAGUCGAACGAGUGGCGGACGGGUGAGUACUAUAUCGGAACGUGCCUAGUAGAGGGGGCUAACUACUCGAAAGCGUGGCUAAUACUGCAUACUGUUGGAGCGGCCGUUAUCGGAUUAGCUAGUGGGUGGGGUAUAGCCUCACCAAGGCAACGAUGCGUAGCUGGUUUGAGAGGUCGACCGGCCACACUGGGACUGAGACACGGCCCAGACUCCUACGGGAGGCAGCAGUGGGGAAUUGUGGGCAAUGGGGGAAAUCCUGAUCGAGCCAUCCCGCGUGUAUGAGAAGGCCUUCGGGUUGUAAAGUACUUUUGUCAGAGAAGCGGUAUCUACAGAAUAAGCAACGGCUAACUACGUGCCAGCAGCCGCGGUAAUAC
Molecule: ribosomal RNA, 405 nt
Filed under: uncultured bacterium
Lineage: Bacteria
Description: partial 16S ribosomal RNA
Rfam family: Bacterial small subunit ribosomal RNA
Source: RNAcentral